UUUAAGCCAUAAACGAUUUUUCUUGUUGCAGGGGAUUGCAGUGGCAAAGCUAGGCUAGGUCUUGGAGGCUGGUGUAAGGCGAAGCGGUUGAAGGCAGGAGGCUGAUGGAGAGACUGGGGGGAAGAAAAGCCGAAAUGGAUUCACGGUGCUUUGGAUGGAGGAUGAGAGGGGAAUUGCAAGCUCCUUCAACUCGUUCUGUCCGGUGAGAAGUGAUCAAGCUUGGGCUGACAAGAGGCUCAGGGAGCCCUCACGUUCUUUCGCUUUUUUACCUGCCAAUCAAACUGCUACAAGACAACACCCUGAUCUGACAUGGACAUCGCGGGUCCAAGCCUGUAGCCCCAAAUCGGAUAAUCUCUGCAGCUGAUAACAAGCAAAAGAGAAGCCAGGCAACAGCCAUAUUAAAGAAGAAAACAAUCAACUCUGAGGAUACAGACAGGCUUGCAGAAGUUAACUAGACGUCCGACACACGCCAAAGUCUUGCGGGCCCAGGAUUUCAAACAAAAGAAAACUCGGGCACUUGAGCUUUCGGAUGAGGAAACUGGUGGUGGGCGAGCACUGUCCUGUGUUCCGCUUCUCAUUUCCACGUGGCCCAGGCAGGCAGAAGAAGGAGAAGGAACGUUAAUCCGACUGCAGCCACUCCAGCACACAAGCCAUGGGUAUCCAGGGGAGAAAACUGGUUUCAUGUCCUACAAAACUCUCCCCUUCUCCCGAGGUCCUUCACAAAAGGGUCCCUCAUCUCCAUCUCCCACCCCCACCCCCCACCCCCCACCAAAUGUGUGUUCUUGGGCCCACAAGUCAUUUCGGCAACCUGGGACUAAGUUAUGGGUUUUUUUGUUUGUUUUGCUUGCCUUUUCCUUUGCGUUUGUGGGUAUGGAUGUCUCUCAAACACCCAGAACCAAGGCCCUCACUCUAAACUUGAACCCUUCACCUUUGUGUCCCUCUUCUUCCCUUCUUCUGGGGCUGGUGGGUGCGGUGGCCAAGAGGCGGCCUUUCCUGAGGACAGAGCAGCUGGGGCAGCUGCGAUAGAGCAGCUGCUGUGUCUCGCCCCUCUUUUCUCAAUCAUUAAAAUUCAAUUUCAAAAUUUCUGUCUUGAACAAUUUCCUAAGGAGCCUAUGAAGGAUGCCAAAAGAGUGGGCCCCUUUUCAAGUGGUCGUGUCUCAGCAGAAGGCAGGCACUGGCCAAGUUGCCCUAGGCUGUGCCCUUCUGGAGCAGAGCA
This is an RNA transcript of Balaenoptera musculus (blue whale), 1216 nucleotides long. RefSeq lists it as uncharacterized. The transcript has 4 exons. Lineage: Eukaryota; Metazoa; Chordata; Mammalia; Artiodactyla; Balaenopteridae. The record is from RefSeq and is a predicted model, not a curated record.